AUACGGAGGGUGCGAGCGUUAAUCGGAAUUACUGGGCGUAAAGCGCGCGUAGGCGGCUAAGUAAGUCGGAUGUGAAAGCCCUGGGCUCAACCUGGGAAUUGCAUUCGAUACUGCUUGGCUAGAGUAUGGUAGAGGGUAGUGGAAUUCCUGGUGUAGCGGUGAAAUGCGUAGAUAUCAGGAGGAACAUCAGUGGCGAAGGCGGCUACCUGGACCAAUACUGACGCUAAGGUGCGAAAGCGUGGGGAGCAAACAGGAUUAGAAACCCCGGUAGUCC
This 274-nucleotide ribosomal RNA is filed under the name uncultured bacterium. RNAcentral's name for it is "partial 16S ribosomal RNA". It matches the Rfam family "Bacterial small subunit ribosomal RNA", at positions 523 to 796 of the family's 1533-position model. The record is from RNAcentral.